GAUGAACGCUGGCGGCGUGCCUAAUACAUGCAAGUCGAGCGAACAGAUAAGGAGCUUGCUCCUUUGACGUUAGCGGCGGACGGGUGAGUAACACGUGGGUAACCUACCUAUAAGACUGGAAUAACUCCGGGAAACCGGGGCUAAUGCCGGAUAACAUGUUGAACCGCAUGGUUCUACAGUGAAAGGCGGCUUUGCUGUCACUUAUAGAUGGACCCGCGCCGUAUUAGCUAGUUGGUGAGGUAACGGCUCACCAAGGCAACGAUACGUAGCCGACCUGAGAGGGUGAUCGGCCACACUGGAACUGAGACACGGUCCAGACUCCUACGGGAGGCAGCAGUAGGGAAUCUUCGGCAAUGGGCGAAAGCCUGACGGAGCAACGCCGCGUGAGUGAUGAAGGUCUUCGGAUCGUAAAACUCUGUUAUUAGGGAAGAACAAAUGCGUAAGUAACUGUGCGCGUCUUGACGGUACCUAAUCAGAAAGCCACGGCUAACUACGUG
This 497-nucleotide ribosomal RNA is filed under the name uncultured bacterium. RNAcentral describes it as "partial 16S ribosomal RNA". It matches the Rfam family "Bacterial small subunit ribosomal RNA", at positions 28 to 507 of the family's 1533-position model. The record is from RNAcentral.